This 174-nucleotide small nucleolar RNA is filed under the name Neogobius melanostomus (round goby). Its description in RNAcentral is "Small nucleolar RNA U3 (ENSNMLG00000010941.1)". It matches the Rfam family "Small nucleolar RNA U3", at positions 1 to 173 of the family's 219-position model. From Rfam's summary of the family: Small nucleolar RNAs (snoRNAs) are involved in the processing and modification of rRNA in the nucleolus. Lineage: Eukaryota; Metazoa; Chordata; Actinopteri; Gobiiformes; Gobiidae. The record is from Rfam by way of RNAcentral.
AAGACUAUACUUUCAGGGAUCAUUUCUAUAGUUUGUGACUUGAGAAAUGUGUUUUUAAAGUGCAUGGUCUCGCUGCCCACAAUGAAGAGUUUGUGAUGCUCCUUCUUGAACAUUAACUCUGCAGUGUCUCUGCAGUUGCUCUAGUGUGACAGGAAUGUGCCUCUGUGUUCUGGU